CUGCAAUCUUCAAAUCUUCAAGUGCCUCCAAGGCAUGUAUGAAGGGAAGUAAACUUAUGAGGCCUGAAAUUCUUUUAAUUUUUAAGGUCAUGAGGCAGGUAAGAUCAGGCAAACUUCUGAGAAUCAUCUCUUGGCAGUUUUCAAUGUUCAAUUCAGAGAGAGAGGGUAGCAUUUCAGGUAAUUUUGCUAAUUGUGGGCAAUGUUGAAUCUUUAGUUUUCCCAGGGAAGGAAGGAAGGUGGGCAAUUUUCCAACCAAGUUAGGACAAUUUCUCACUGUAAGCUCUCGCAGAUUAGGAAAAUUCCUUGCAUCCUCUUCAUUGGGAACAUUAAACCAGGACCAUUGCUCCCAGCAUGACAUGUUCUCAAUGUUCAGAGUUUCCAAAGACGCAAAAGUCGUAGAAAAGGGUGAACCAUCCCCACAAAACUCAAUACCCACUUCUUUUAUCCCAGCCAUGCCUACCAAGCU
This 466-nucleotide unclassified non-coding RNA is filed under the name Hevea brasiliensis (rubber tree). Lineage: Eukaryota; Viridiplantae; Streptophyta; Magnoliopsida; Malpighiales; Euphorbiaceae. The record is from RNAcentral.